AGUGGGGAAUAUUGCACAAUGGGCGCAAGCCUGAUGCAGCCAUGCCGCGUGUGUGAAGAAGGCCUUAGGGUUGUAAAGCACUUUCAGUCGUGAGGAAAGGUGUGUGCUUAAUACGUACAUACUGUGACGUUAGCGACAGAAGAAGGACCGGCUAACUCCGUGCCAGCAGCCGCGGUAAUACGGAGGGUCCGAGCGUUAAUCGGAAUUACUGGGCGUAAAGCGCGCGUAGGUGGAUUGGUCAGUCAGAUGUGAAAGCCCAGGGCUCAACCUUGGAACUGCAUCUGAUACUGCUAGUCUAGAAUACAGUAGAGGGUAGUGGAAUUUCCUGUGUAGCGGUGAAAUGCGUAGAUAUAGGAAGGAACACCAGUGGCGAAGGCGACUACCUGGACUGAUAUUGACACUGAGGUGCGAAAGCGUGGGGAGCAAACAGGAUUAGAUACCCUGGUAGUCCACGCCGUAAACGAUGUCUACUAGCCGUUGGAAGACUUGAUCUUUUAGUGGCGAAGCUAACGCGAUAAGUAGACCGCCUGGGGAGUACGGCCGCAAGGUUAAAACUCAAAUGAAUUGACGGGGGCCCGCACAAGCGGUGGAGCAUGUGGUUUAAUUCGACGCAACGCGAAGAACCUUACCAACUCUUGACAUCCAGAGAAGAGGCUAGAGAUAGCUUUGUGCCUUCGGGAGCUCUGAGACAGGUGCUGCAUGGCUGUCGUCAGCUCGUGUUGUGAAAUGUUGGGUUAAGUCCCGUAACGAGCGCAACCCUUGUCCUUAUUUGCCAGCACGUAAU
RNAcentral lists this ribosomal RNA (784 nucleotides) under uncultured bacterium. RNAcentral's name for it is "bacterial SSU rRNA". It matches the Rfam family "Bacterial small subunit ribosomal RNA", at positions 353 to 1129 of the family's 1533-position model. The record is from RNAcentral.